This 2486-nucleotide ribosomal RNA is filed under the name Staphylococcus aureus. RNAcentral's name for it is "partial 23S ribosomal RNA". It matches the Rfam family "Bacterial large subunit ribosomal RNA", at positions 310 to 2797 of the family's 2925-position model. The record is from RNAcentral. Lineage: Bacteria; Bacillati; Bacillota; Bacilli; Caryophanales; Staphylococcaceae.
UACGGAGUUACAAAGGACGACAUUAGACGAAUCAUCUGGAAAGAUGAAUCAAAGAAGGUAAUAAUCCUGUAGUCGAAAAUGUUGUCUCUCUUGAGUGGAUCCUGAGUACGACGGAGCACGUGAAAUUCCGUCGGAAUCUGGGAGGACCAUCUCCUAAGGCUAAAUACUCUCUAGUGACCGAUAGUGAACCAGUACCGUGAGGGAAAGGUGAAAAGCACCCCGGAAGGGGAGUGAAAUAGAACCUGAAACCGUGUGCUUACAAGUAGUCAGAGCCCGUUAAUGGGUGAUGGCGUGCCUUUUGUAGAAUGAACCGGCGAGUUACGAUUUGAUGCAAGGUUAAGCAGUAAAUGUGGAGCCGUAGCGAAAGCGAGUCUGAAUAGGGCGUUUAGUAUUUGGUCGUAGACCCGAAACCAGGUGAUCUACCCUUGGUCAGGUUGAAGUUCAGGUAACACUGAAUGGAGGACCGAACCGACUUACGUUGAAAAGUGAGCGGAUGAACUGAGGGUAGCGGAGAAAUUCCAAUCGAACCUGGAGAUAGCUGGUUCUCUCCGAAAUAGCUUUAGGGCUAGCCUCAAGUGAUGAUUAUUGGAGGUAGAGCACUGUUUGGACGAGGGGCCCCUCUCGGGUUACCGAAUUCAGACAAACUCCGAAUGCCAAUUAAUUUAACUUGGGAGUCAGAACAUGGGUGAUAAGGUCCGUGUUCGAAAGGGAAACAGCCCAGACCACCAGCUAAGGUCCCAAAAUAUAUGUUAAGUGGAAAAGGAUGUGGCGUUGCCCAGACAACUAGGAUGUUGGCUUAGAAGCAGCCAUCAUUUAAAGAGUGCGUAAUAGCUCACUAGUCGAGUGACACUGCGCCGAAAAUGUACCGGGGCUAAACAUAUUACCGAAGCUGUGGAUUGUCCUUUGGACAAUGGUAGGAGAGCGUUCUAAGGGCGUUGAAGCAUGAUCGUAAGGACAUGUGGAGCGCUUAGAAGUGAGAAUGCCGGUGUGAGUAGCGAAAGACGGGUGAGAAUCCCGUCCACCGAUUGACUAAGGUUUCCAGAGGAAGGCUCGUCCGCUCUGGGUUAGUCGGGUCCUAAGCUGAGGCCGACAGGCGUAGGCGAUGGAUAACAGGUUGAUAUUCCUGUACCACCUAUAAUCGUUUUAAUCGAUGGGGGGACGCAGUAGGAUAGGCGAAGCGUGCGAUUGGAUUGCACGUCUAAGCAGUAAGGCUGAGUAUUAGGCAAAUCCGGUACUCGUUAAGGCUGAGCUGUGAUGGGGAGAAGACAUUGUGUCUUCGAGUCGUUGAUUUCACACUGCCGAGAAAAGCCUCUAGAUAGAAAAUAGGUGCCCGUACCGCAAACCGACACAGGUAGUCAAGAUGAGAAUUCUAAGGUGAGCGAGCGAACUCUCGUUAAGGAACUCGGCAAAAUGACCCCGUAACUUCGGGAGAAGGGGUGCUCUUUAGGGUUAACGCCCAGAAGAGCCGCAGUGAAUAGGCCCAAGCGACUGUUUAUCAAAAACACAGGUCUCUGCUAAACCGUAAGGUGAUGUAUAGGGGCUGACGCCUGCCCGGUGCUGGAAGGUUAAGAGGAGUGGUUAGCUUCUGCGAAGCUACGAAUCGAAGCCCCAGUAAACGGCGGCCGUAACUAUAACGGUCCUAAGGUAGCGAAAUUCCUUGUCGGGUAAGUUCCGACCCGCACGAAAGGCGUAACGAUUUGGGCACUGUCUCAACGAGAGACUCGGUGAAAUCAUAGUACCUGUGAAGAUGCAGGUUACCCGCGACAGGACGGAAAGACCCCGUGGAGCUUUACUGUAGCCUGAUAUUGAAAUUCGGCACAGCUUGUACAGGAUAGGUAGGAGCCUUUGAAACGUGAGCGCUAGCUUACGUGGAGGCGCUGGUGGGAUACUACCCUAGCUGUGUUGGCUUUCUAACCCGCACCACUUAUCGUGGUGGGAGACAGUGUCAGGCGGGCAGUUUGACUGGGGCGGUCGCCUCCUAAAAGGUAACGGAGGCGCUCAAAGGUUCCCUCAGAAUGGUUGGAAAUCAUUCAUAGAGUGUAAAGGCAUAAGGGAGCUUGACUGCGAGACCUACAAGUCGAGCAGGGUCGAAAGACGGACUUAGUGAUCCGGUGGUUCCGCAUGGAAGGGCCAUCGCUCAACGGAUAAAAGCUACCCCGGGGAUAACAGGCUUAUCUCCCCCAAGAGUUCACAUCGACGGGGAGGUUUGGCACCUCGAUGUCGGCUCAUCGCAUCCUGGGGCUGUAGUCGGUCCCAAGGGUUGGGCUGUUCGCCCAUUAAAGCGGUACGCGAGCUGGGUUCAGAACGUCGUGAGACAGUUCGGUCCCUAUCCGUCGUGGGCGUAGGAAAUUUGAGAGGAGCUGUCCUUAGUACGAGAGGACCGGGAUGGACAUACCUCUGGUGUACCAGUUGUCGUGCCAACGGCAUAGCUGGGUAGCUAUGUGUGGACGGGAUAAGUGCUGAAAGCAUCUAAGCAUGAAGCCCCC